AGGACACGACGUAGCAGUAAUUUCCGGUGGUAUCUGGAAACUGUCGGAAUGGUUUCUGCAAGCGGUAUUAUCAAUUAGACACCACCGGGAGAAGCAGCAUAAACAAGAAGACACGUCCUUUAACCAAACGCAUCGACGGAAGGCAACAAGAACUAUGAGAACAAAUAUCAUAUUUAUUGGGAUACUGGUUAGCCAAGUAUUACAAGCAAAACUAGGUUCAGGGACAUACUCAUUGAAUGGGAUUGAUUGCAAACGCCAAUGCAAGUGGCCGGCCGAACCCGCGGUUUGCCGUUUCAAUUUUACCAUAGAUUGGUAUUACUCUAUGUCUAAAGCGUGCUAUGAUUGUCCGUUCAAUU
Anneissia japonica is the source of this 356-nucleotide long non-coding RNA. RefSeq lists it as uncharacterized. Lineage: Eukaryota; Metazoa; Echinodermata; Crinoidea; Comatulida; Comatulidae. The transcript is spliced from 3 exons. The record is from RefSeq and is a predicted model, not a curated record.